Molecule: ribosomal RNA, 745 nt
Filed under: uncultured archaeon
Lineage: Archaea
Description: bacterial SSU rRNA
Rfam family: Archaeal small subunit ribosomal RNA
Source: RNAcentral
GGGAAACUGGGGCUAAUGCUUGAUAGACGAAAACGCCUGGAAUGGUCUUUCGUCUAAAAGUUUUUGGAAACAUGCUUCUGAAAAUGCCUAAGGAUGAGACUGCGGCCGAUCAGGCUGUUGGUGAGGUAACGGCUCACCAAACCUAUUACCGGUACGGGCUCUGAAAGGAGUAGCCCGGAGAUGGGAACUGAGACAAGGUCCCAGGCCCUACGGGACGCAGCAGGCGCGAAAACUCCACAAUGCGCGAAAGCGUGAUGGGGUUACCCCGAGUGCCAUCCGUUGAGGAUAGCUUUUCACUAGUGUAAGGAGCUAGUGGAAUAAAGGGGGGGCAAGUCUGGUGUCAGCCGCCGCGGUAAUACCAGCCCCCUGAGUGAUAGGGACGAUUAUUUAGCCUAAAGCGUCCGUAGCCCGGCUUUGUAAGUCUUUUCGUUAAAUCUGACGACUUAAUCGCCAGACUGCGGAAGAUACUGCUAAGCUAGAGGGUGGGAGAGGUCGACGGUAGUCCUUGGGGUAGGGGUGAAAUCCUAUAAUCCAGGGAGGACCACCAGUGGGCGAAGGCCGGUCAACUAGAACAUGCCCUGACGGUGAGGACGAAAGCUGGGGGAGCGGACCCGGAAUUAGACACCCGGGUAGUCCCAGCUGUAAACGAUGCGGCUAGGUGUUGGUGCCACAACGUGCUUGUUCAGUGCCGCAGAAAAGUUUUUAAGGCCCACGCGUUGGAAGUCCCGCCGCAAGGCUGAAACUA